RNAcentral lists this small RNA (189 nucleotides) under Gammaproteobacteria bacterium. RNAcentral describes it as "6S RNA". It matches the Rfam family "6S / SsrS RNA". Rfam says of the family: E. coli 6S RNA was the first non coding RNA to be sequenced, but its function was unknown until recently. It consists of 184 nucleotides that fold into an extended hairpin structure with a large single-stranded internal bulge. Lineage: Bacteria; Pseudomonadati; Pseudomonadota; Gammaproteobacteria. The record is from RNAcentral.
CGUCACCUGCGGUGCUCGACAAGCGGACCGGGUUACCUCGGACCCUAAUUGAAACACCCACGGGGCCACUGGCUUGCUGGCAGCAUUGUGCAAGUCCGUCACGUGCGGAAAGCCUUACCUGCCGUAGCCGGCUCCACCUGUUGCUCUGGUUCGAGAGCAACGGCCCGCACCGGCAUCGGCGGGUGACGC